UUUAUUUUGGUCGAUCUCUCUUGAACUGCACGCAACUUUUCCCUAUCCUCCUAUAAGUAGUCCACUGAGAGUAGGGAGCUCUAGUACUCGUUGUCUUACUCGUUAUACUAGUUAGACUCACUUCAAGUAUUCCGUUCGUUCACUUCAAGCUCGAAGAUAUACGUAUCUUUUCGUUCAACUCCUUUCGUUUAUUCCACUCGCUCUUUCCAGCUCUGAAAGCAAGGAGUAUAGUAUCGAACCGGCCAGCACGCACUAUCGGAUCAGCCCCUUCCUUUCUCUUGGAACCGAAGCGGGAACUGGGAAGGUUGUCAGAUAACUCUCCGAACUCUUACUUUUCUAUCUCGUGUGCAAGAUAUAGUGUAUGACCUGCAACUGGGUACACUAGAAGUUUUCCUUCAUCCUUUGGGAAUCAAGACAUUCAAUGAAUGAAAAGUGAAAAACUUGUAGAUAAAUGGUUUAUACAGAUGACGAUAAGACUUUCCAAUCAGUAGCUGGGCUAGGGCUUAUUCUGAUUCACUUGCUAUGGCAUUCGUAGCAUC
This 539-nucleotide long non-coding RNA is filed under the name Solanum tuberosum (potato). RNAcentral's name for it is "long non-coding RNA (STUB_LNC000085)". Lineage: Eukaryota; Viridiplantae; Streptophyta; Magnoliopsida; Solanales; Solanaceae. The record is from RNAcentral.